AUGGAUACUGCUCCGCCGCCGGCCGGAAACAGUACGACGGAGCAGCGAACAGAAUACUUCAAAUUCUUAUGGAAGUGGCGCAAAUACCUGCUGCUGCUCGCCAUGCUGGUUGCCAGCGUCACCUACGCGGCCGGUCUCAACCCACCGGGCGGCGUUAGGUCCGACGAGGAGCCGGCGCUGUCGGCGGCCCGCCAGAAACGCAUCGGCGACCCGGUUCUCCUGGCCACCAGCCCGCGUCGGUAUGCCGCCUUCUUCUACUGCAACGCCGCCGCCUUUGUCACGUCCCUUGUCGUCAUCAUGUUCCUGCUGGACCGGCGCAUCAGCGGCAACCGCGUUGGCCUCGCCGUGCUCAGCUCUGCCAUGCUGCUCGACCUGCUCGCCCUCGUGGCUGCCUUCAUCGCUGGGAGCUGCCGCAACGUGGUCGCGUCCAUCUACGUCUCGGCGCUGUUCGCCCUCGUCUUCGCCAUCCUCUGCGUGUACAAAGACCGGAGGAAGGCGGCGGUCAGGACAAGCGUGGACAAGUUCCUGAUGCUGCUCUCCACCUUCGCGACGCCGCUGACCUACGGCGCGGGGUUGUCUCCGCCGGGAGGCUUCUGGAGCCAGACCGAGGCCGGGCAUCGCGCGGGCGCCCCGCUGCUGCAUGACGGGCCCUACAAGAUCCGCUACAAUGUCUUCUUCUACGCCAACGCCAACUCAUUCGUGGCGUCCCUCGCCAUCAUCAUGCUGGUCAUGAGCAGGACGGCCAGCGGCAGCAUCAUCCGGUCGUAUCUGUUGUCGGUGUGCCUUCUGGUGGAGCUGCUUGGCCUACCAGCUGCCUUCGCCGCCGGUAGCUCCACGAGGGUCGACACCACCAUGUACGUCGUCUGCCUCGCGGCUGCGGCGCUCCUCAUGAUUGUGCUGCAGGUGGCGGCCAUGUUCCUGCGUACCAGGAUGCUCAUGUGCAACACUUCGCCAGGACAACCAGACGCAAACGGGAUUCGGGCUAAUGGUCAGGAAGAAGACGGAGACGAAGAAGAUGUCAUCCGUGUGGAGAGGACAAACAACAUCGAAAAUGGGCAGGUAGGCCACAUGGUGGAGUCGCGGUCAAUUCUGCUGCUGCUGGCAACGCUCGCAGCGACGGUGACGUACCAGGCAGGGUUGAGCCCGCCCGGCGGCGUCUGGCCGCAUAACAACGACCAAGGGCAUCCAGAUCACAUCCCCGGGAACCCGAUCCUCCUCGACAUUCACCCCAAGAGGUACAAGGCGUUCUACUACUGCAACACGGCGGCGUUUGUGGCGUCGCUGGUUGUCAUCGUCAUCGUCCAGAGCAACGAGCUGAGCUCGGGCACCACCAUCAGGCGGGUCACGCUCAAGACGGCCAUCAUACUGGGUCUGUACGGCCUCAUGGGUGCCCAAGUCGCCGGGAGCUCCCCGGAUGCCCCCACCACCAUCCAGUGGCGGAGCCAGCUAUCUGGCAAGGCCUGGCAGCUGCCACACCUAAAUUUGAACCAAAUGUACUAA
This 1500-nucleotide ribosomal RNA is filed under the name Triticum aestivum (bread wheat). RNAcentral describes it as "partial small subunit ribosomal RNA". The record is from RNAcentral. Lineage: Eukaryota; Viridiplantae; Streptophyta; Magnoliopsida; Poales; Poaceae.